UACAGAGGGUGCGAGCGUUGUCCGGAAUCACUGGGCGUAAAGGGCGCGUAGGCGGCCUGAUAAGUAGGGGGUGAAAUCCUGUGGCUUAACUGCAGGGCUGCCUCCUAGACUGUUAGGCUCGAGCACGGUAGAGGCAGAUGGAAUUCCCGGUGUAGCGGUGAAAUGCGUAGAUAUCUGGAGGAACACCGGUGGCGAAGGCGGCGUCCUGGACCAACACUGACACUGAGGAGCGAAAGCCAGGGGAGCAAACGGG
This 253-nucleotide ribosomal RNA is filed under the name uncultured bacterium. RNAcentral describes it as "partial 16S ribosomal RNA". It matches the Rfam family "Bacterial small subunit ribosomal RNA", at positions 524 to 776 of the family's 1533-position model. The record is from RNAcentral.